RNAcentral lists this ribosomal RNA (497 nucleotides) under uncultured bacterium. RNAcentral's name for it is "partial 16S ribosomal RNA". It matches the Rfam family "Bacterial small subunit ribosomal RNA", at positions 28 to 507 of the family's 1533-position model. The record is from RNAcentral.
GACGAACGCUGGCGGCGUGCCUAAUACAUGCAAGUUGAGCGCUGAAGGUUGGUACUUGUGCCAACUGGAUGAGCAGCGCACGGGUGAGUAACGCGUGUGGAAUCUGCCUUUGAGCGGGGGACAACAUUUGGAAACGAAUGCUAAUACCGCAUAAAAACUUUAAACACAAGUUUUAAGUUUGAAAGAUGCCAUUGCAUCACUCAAAGAUGAUCCCGCGUUGUAUUAGCUAGUUGGUGAGGUAAAGGCUCACCAAGGCGAUGAUACAUAGCCGACCUGAGAGGGUGAGUGGCCACAUUGGGACGGAGACCCGGCCCAAACGGCCACGGGAGGGAGCAGGAGGGAAACGUCGGGAAGGGGUGAAAGUCUGAGCGAGAAACGCCGCGGGAGGGAAGAAGGUUGUCGGGUCGUAAAACUCGGUUGGUAGAGAAGAACGUUGGUGAGAGUGGAAAGCUCAGCAAGUGACGGUAACUACCCAGAAAGGGACGGCUAACUACGUG